AUCAUGCAAUAUAUCAGAAAGUAAUUGUUCAACGUUUUCCACGUGGCUUCGCAAUUCUGGUGUAGACCUGCUUACUUCUUGAUCAUCCUCUGACACCGAAGGCGCUGCCAUUAGAACAUUACCAGGGUUUAACAGCAGUGAUCCACAUUCCGACUCAUGAGAUCUAUGAACGUUAUCAUUUUCCACUUCCUCCUUGAUUGAUGAAUGCUCAGAUGUUGGUUCCAUCAACUGGCUGUUUUCAUUAGUGGGAUGGAUUGAAUAAGGAGGACUGUAGCUGUUGUAAUAAUGCUAACCUCGCUUCAUUCACUCAUUUACGGUUAAAAUUAAGGGAAAAGAAGGCGUUUUAAAUAUUUUGCUUUUUAUUGAAUAAAAAAUAAUUAUUGAUUCUUUAAAUAAAUGUUGAAACUCAACUUUGCGGUGCAAUCAUAAAGAUAUUGUGCCGAAGAUGAUUUCGUACCUAGUUGUAUAGGUAAUUCAAAAGGGAAGAUUGGAAUGGCUGAGUCUUCGGCAAAGAAUUUCAUAUUACAACUAAAUGGCAUUCAAGAUACGUUUACAUGGAAGUCAAUUGUAUACAGAGAACAGUACUGAAUUUAAAAUAAAACUAAUAAUUACACGUUCUAUGAAAUGUACGCGCUCUAAACUAAGAAUACUCUUUGGUUAAGAAAUUAAUGUUAAAAAGCGCUUAGAAUAUAGCGCUAGAUGUAUUACUACAAACUGUUUAUAUUGAGUUAUUUAGGAGUGAUCACUGAUCUAUCGUUUCAACUAAAAUGCUGCUUAUCCUUGACUUCUCAAGGUCUAAGGAUGGUAUUCACAUUUAAAGAUCUAGAAACUUGUUGGCUAACUUUUCGAGAUGGUUCCAUCUAAUAUUGAAUAGAAUUGAGAUUUGCGCAUUGGUUCUUUCAAUAUCUAUAUUGCUCCAAAACAAAAACAUUAGUCUAGUACUUGUAAGAAAACACAAGUCAUACAGGGAAUCGAAAAUAAAAAAUCAGUUGAAAUCUUUAAUCGACGCUUCAUAUUUCAUUUUGAGCAAUAAUAAAACACUCGAUUAAGCCAACCAUCAUCUAGUUUGUUGAACAUGCUCAGUAGUCGGUAUUAACUUCAUAGAGACUUGAAUAGAUAUAGGAAA
This is a non-coding RNA of Schizosaccharomyces pombe (fission yeast), 1126 nucleotides long. Lineage: Eukaryota; Fungi; Ascomycota; Schizosaccharomycetes; Schizosaccharomycetales; Schizosaccharomycetaceae. The record is from the annotation of a GenBank genome assembly.